UGUGUGUGUGUGAGAUGGAUGGCUUAUUCUUUUGGUAAUCGUCCCUCAGUGAGGAUGUGAUCUGAAUUAAAGUGAAGCAGAAGCAUGAGUUAGAAAGUCAAAGCUCAUUAGGUUUGUAUGGUUCUUUUUAUCAUCACCAUCAAUAAUCAUUAUUAUAAAUCACCGCCACCAUGUUUUUUUUAAUAUUUUUUUUUUUACACCGCUGGCGUUUUUGUGUAUGUUUUCAAGUUUAAUAAUAAUAAAUUGCACACAAAGUGUGAAGCGGAGACUAAAUUAACUUGCGGUCCGCCACUUAAUAUGUUCCUGAGGAAUUAAAACCUAAAAAGCUUUGCGUUCGGUACACAUGGGCACUGAACCAAAAGCCCACACUUUUCCACACCAAAAUUCUGCUGUGUGUCUGCUGUUCACUUUUAGAUCAGAUAUGUGUGUCUGGGCUCAAAACUACACUCCAUGAGUUCACGUGUGGAUCAAAAUACAUUUAUGAGAAACUUCACUGCUGAGAUUCUUUUUACAAUCACAAAUCAAGGUUUCUUGUGUAACAGAGUGUCAACGUUUUAAAUGUAUUAUAGGUAUUUUAAUAUAUUAAAUUGCAUUUGAAUACAUAUUAAUAUGGGUAUGUGGUGAAAGAGCGCCCACUGCUCCUAGGACAGUAGAGUUACCUGUAAUAAGGUAGUAGAUCUUGUACGGCCUUUUAAAUGUGUAUUUUCUCAUCUGUUCUCUUCCCCUGCUAUGCCACUCCUCUGCACCAGGGGGCGUGUGUCCCUUAGAGUCAGACACUAAACACUGUUUAACUACUAGACACUUGCAGAACCAGAAGAGGAGGAGAUCAUCACCCAGAGCAUCUCUCUCAGUACAUUACUAACAAAUCAAACGUUCCUCGUUAUUUUAAAGCAUAAAACUUCACUGAGGAAUGUUCCAGAUCAAUGUAAACAUGUAUACAGUAUCUAUGUGGAUUCUGGAAUCUGUAUAAGGUGAAACUCCAGCCAUUUAUAUACUCAUUGAAGAUUACAUUUCAUUCUGAUUCACUGAUUUGUGUUUAAUUAUUGAAAUAUUUAUAAUAUAUAUAAAUAUGUGAGCUGCUCUGAAACAAUCGAAUGAAUUUGAGAGUUGACGCAUAUAAUCGGUUACACAAGAAACCUUGAUUUGUGAUCGUAAAAAAAGAAUCAGAAUCGCUGAAUCUCAGUUUCUCAUGGCUGCAUGGAAUCACUGAUUGUAGUUCGACCCACCCCCACCCCCCAGGCAGCACUGAGUCUGACCUGAAUCUUAAUCACAAUGGUGUGUUCACUACUGCCGAUCAGAACAUCAUGAUCAGUAGAACCCUGGACAUAAACGGUGAGAGAAGACUGGAGAAAUGUGAGAGAGAUGUAAAGCGUUUGAGACGUCCAGCGCUCCAGCAGCCGAGAUCUUCACAUCCUGCUUCUGAUUCACUUACUUCUGAAGAAGGGGCCGAAACGGGGAACAGCUCCAGCUGCCAUACAGAUGCUGUAAACAUGGCCCUCUACUUCAUCCUCCAACAUCUAGACUCCCCAGGAUCCUACACCAGGAUACUGUUUGUAGGUUUUAGCUCUGACUUCCACAUUGUCCCAACGCUACUCAGAGGCUCUUCCAGCUGAAUGUGCCUGAUUCCAUGUGCAGUUGGAUCGUGGACUUUCUGACAGACGGACGGCAGUUCGUGAGGAUGGGAAAGCGUGUCUCUGAUUGCCGGAAUAUCAACACUGGAUCCCCACAAGGCUUUUCUCCUCUGAUUUUCUCACUGUACACCAAUGGCUGCUCAUCUGGUCACUAAUGUGAAAUUUGCUUAUGAUUCCACCCUCUUCAGCUUCAUCUUUGAUGGGAACGAGUCGGCUUACAGAAAUUAGAUGACCCUCUCAUCCUGGAAACAAACUACAGACAGUCACUUUUACAUAAAAAAACAAUUUUUCAUGCAAAUUCAUAUUUCUGUAUACAAUAUUUAGUUCAUUCUAGAUUGUGUACAUACUUCAUGUCUGUAUAUCUGUUUGGACAUCACUUUCACUUACAUUCUAAAUUGUACUACUUCUCAUGCAAAGCCACUACUUUCUGUAGAUAAUAUUUAUUGAAUUCAUUAUAGUUUAUUUAAAAACUGUGUACACAUUUUGUGUGUGUGUGUUUGUACCUGACACCAAGACAAAUUCCUAGUACUGUAAAGUGCUCUUCGCUGAACUCUGCUGUACCUGGCAAUAAAACCUUUUCUGCUCCUGA
Silurus meridionalis is the source of this 2220-nucleotide long non-coding RNA. RefSeq lists it as uncharacterized. NCBI's taxonomy places the organism in Eukaryota, Metazoa, Chordata, Actinopteri, Siluriformes, Siluridae. The transcript has 2 exons. The record is from RefSeq and is a predicted model, not a curated record.